Molecule: long non-coding RNA, 829 nt
Organism: Daphnia pulex (common water flea)
Lineage: Eukaryota; Metazoa; Arthropoda; Branchiopoda; Diplostraca; Daphniidae
Exons: 3
Source: RefSeq, a predicted model, not a curated record
AACAUAUUGACGUUUGCGAAUUUGCGAUAAUCAGCCCGAUAGCAGCCGAUAGCAGUUCCAGCCACAUCACCAAGAUUUCACGUUUCAAUGAACAAUACCUCUGGUUAGUGGAAAUAUUCCUGAUCGUCUAGUUUCUGAUGUCACUCACAUCCAGAGCUUCAUCUGUGUCAUCCUCUCACAUCUUUGACAACAACUCAAACUUUUUUGCCCAUUUUUAGUUCUGUGGCAUUAGAUUUAUACAGAUAUACAAGUAGCGUAACUUUCUGAUUGUAGCAUCAUGAUCUAUAAAUAAGACUCUAUCUUAUUUAUAGAUCAUGGUAGCAUUGGACCAUGUGUAUAAGAUUUAAGGUUAGAAGUCCACUAACAUAAUUAGCUAUGAUAUUAGGCAAUUUUCAAAAAUGAAAGUACAACACAUACAACGUAGCUGACAUCAAAUUUGACUUUCUUAAUUCGUAUAGUGAUGGACUGUUUGCAGAAAAAAAACAGAAUUUGGCUGAUGGGCCAGCCCAGGAUUCAGUCAAGACGACUGCGCCUUUGAGCUGAGUCUCUGCCAGCCCACUGGUGAAUAUUUCGAUGUCGUUGACGAUUGUAGACGCUGGCCAGGAGGACGGUGUUGGUGGAUGAGAUGCGUCGCAACGAUCCCUAAUUCCCCAAAGUCACCCUGUAGACGGACCAGUUUGCAUGUCCAUCCCGCUCGAAGGUCACGGAGAUCAGUACGUAAAAGUGUCAUGGAGUGGUUUAGAGGUUGGGUGAGAAAGACACGUGUUUCAACAUUAUCAAGCAGACCCAUCCCCGGCAAAGUCACCUGCAGAAGGAAAGAAAAAUUUCC